Molecule: non-coding RNA, 84 nt
Organism: Roridomyces roridus
Lineage: Eukaryota; Fungi; Basidiomycota; Agaricomycetes; Agaricales; Mycenaceae
Source: the annotation of a GenBank genome assembly
GGAGCUAUAGUUCAGUGGUAGAACGUGAGAUUCCAGUUAUCAACGGGUACCUCAAGGUCGUCCGUUCAAUCCGGGCUGGCUUCA